This is a long non-coding RNA of Choloepus didactylus (southern two-toed sloth), 4680 nucleotides long. RefSeq lists it as uncharacterized. NCBI's taxonomy places the organism in Eukaryota, Metazoa, Chordata, Mammalia, Pilosa, Megalonychidae. The transcript is spliced from 4 exons. The record is from RefSeq and is a predicted model, not a curated record.
UGGGGUGCAGGAAUGAAGGAAGGGGUUGGGGACAGUGCACUUUCCACGAGAUGCCAAGAAGGAGUGAUGGUUAAUUUUGUGUGUCAACUUGGCUAGGUUAUAGCAUGCAGGUGCUGGGUUAAACACUGGCUUGAAUGCUGCUGGGGGCCUUUUGUAGCUGUGAUUAACACCUACAAUCCAUUGAUUUUAAGUAAAGGAGAUUGCCUUUGAUAACAUGGGUGGGCCUUGUCCAAUCAGCUGGAGGCCUUAAGAGCAAAGAACCCAGUGUUCCUAUUUCCUCCAUGGUGAAAUGCUGACAGACUAGGAGGUAUUAGGUCUUUGAUGCCUCAGACAACCUUCCUAGGGUUUUGUUUUGGCUCAAAUAUGACUUUGAGCUUGACUUUAUAACACUCGCCCUCUGCCCUUUCCCCAUAUAAAUUUAUUCAGCACUUGCCCUGUGAUAGGUGCUGUGCAAUGGGCAGUGGGGAUACAGUGAUGGAGAAACAUGUCCCCAACCUCAUGGUUUGGUAGGGAUAUGGCAGCACAAGCAGACAACUAUAAUUCCCUCUCUUGAAGCACCUCACUCUGAAUUAUAAUUUCCUAUUUGUGCUUCCGUUUCCCCACCAAACCAUGAGAGGAAAUCAUGAAAGUCCAUAAGGUGUGUGCCCCGAUUGGCAGGGCUGGGGCAGGCUUCCUAGGGUGGAUGAGUCAGCCAACCCACACUCGGUCCCUUGAGUCCAGUUCUCCUCUGGAAAAGAAGCCUUUUGGCCCACACCAGCCCACCUGCGACCACCGCCACUUCUCAUGGAAUCCUGUAGCUCUGAAUGCCUGCUCCAAUCCAUUGGCUCUUCUAACCCGCUCCCUUGUGUGUUUAGACAUCUCUUUAGGUAUGGCAAUCUGAUGUUCAGAAUGAGAAAAUUAAUAACCACAACCCCAGUCCCUUACAUUUGUCCUGCACUUUGCAGUUUACAAAGCACGUUCACAGCCAUCUCUUCAUCUCACGCCCUGGACAGCCCCAUUUAACCACAGGCCUUUUGGUCCUGUGCUCUCUGUGUCCUGUAACUGCUGCCGGCAGGCAAGGGGGAAAGAAUUCAGUUCUGGGACAUGCCUAGUACUCUCCUGCUAAAUGCUUCACUUGUGCUGUGUCUCAUUUAAUCUUCACAUCCAUCCAGUGAGGGGAGCAGCAUUUCAUCCCCUUUCAUAGAUGAGGAAACAGAAGCUCCAAGAGGAAGCCCUUGGCCCAUGUCACACAGCUCGUAGGAAACGGAGCUGGGAUUUCUUCUCACACAGGCUUGACUCCCAACCGGAAUAGGGUUGAACACUCUCUGCUGCAUGAAGUUACUUGGUAUUUUUCUCUCAACGCCAGGUAUAAAUAGUAGCAUACUAAAGGUUCAGCGGUCUGAUUUAUUCGUUAUUUUCUUUGUCUCUUUCUGUCUUACCUUUUUGUUCUUCGAUUUGGCAUGCAGAUGAGAGGGAAGGGAUAUUUGUCCUUGGCAUACUGGCCCCACAGACACUGAAGAAACACCGCCCAUGACCAGGCACCUGUUUGUUUUGCUGCCUGGAAAGUCUCCAGCGAGGAACAGGAUGUUAAGAUGUCAGAACAUUAGCUGCCCAAGAUGGAUGAUUCCUUCCUGUUCCUCCACCCUCUGGGCCUGAAUGUCACUGAGGACAGCUGCUAAAGGAACUGGGAAUAGCUCUGCCUACCAGAAUAUCCUCUCCCUUGGCUGGGGCUAGGGGUACCCUACGAGGCCUUUCUCUCGGGCCUCUGUCUUCCCAGCCUCUUUGUAGAUCAGCGCCUCUUGGAUCCAUUUCAUGACCUCCAUGUCUCUUUGGGGUCACGGCUUUCUUUCUUAUUUGCCAGUGGAUCCUGUGGUUGUCUUCAUUCAACUGUCUUCUGUGUCAGGCAGCUGUGGGUCAUGGGGGCACAGAGCUGAACUUGGCCUCUGCCCUUGAGGCACUCCCAGGCUGGGGAGCCUCGAACAUCCCAUGUCUUGGUUUCCUAGGGCUGCUUAACAACACACAACAAACUAGGUGGCUUAAAACAACAGGAAUCUAUUGUCUCACAGUUCUGGAGACUAGAUGUCCAAAGUUAAAGUGACUCCAGAGUCAUGUUCCCUCAGAAACCUGUCACCUGUCGGGGAGGAUCCUUCCUUACCUCUUCCUAGCUUCUGGAGUUUGCCGCCAGUCUUUGGCCUUCUUGGCUUGUACAUAUAUCAUUCCAACCUCUGCCUCUAUCUUCAAAUGGCUUUCUCCUCUGUCUGGCUGUCUGUCUCUUCUUGUAAGAACACAGUAAUUUUGGAUUAGGGCCCGCCCUAAUCCAAUAUAACUGCAUCUUAACUAAUUACAUCUUCAAAGACCCUGUUCCCAGAUGAGGUCACAUUCACAGAACCAGGGGUUAGGACUUGAGCAGAUCUUUUAGGGGGACACAAUUAGACCCAUCACACUCCACCAAGGGUAAGUACUUGGGUGGGAGGAAGUGCAGGGGCUUGUGGGAGCCCAGAGGAGCAUACCUGAGGAGUCAGGGAAGGUUUCAGGGGGAGUGCUGCUUGGGUGUGGUCUUAAAGGAUGCACAAGAAUUUUCCAGGCAGAGAGGCAGAGGGAGAGUAUUCUAAAAAGAGGGAUUAGUCAGUCCUGGUGCUCCCAAGGAACCACACAUGUAUGUACAUGGGAGAGCCCCUAGAUAUUGGAACACCUCUUGUGCUGUCCGUGUGACUUGGCUUCUCAUUCAUAAACAUCUAUCUCUUCCCUGAGUAGUGCCAUGGUUCCUCACUCCCGUGAUUCCUCAUUUUCUCAUCCUCCAGCAUUUUUUCUGUACUUGUGCUACUCUAUCAACAUCCCUCAGAAAGUAGCGGUUAGCAUAAGACUAAAGAGCAUGGCCCUCUGGAUUACACUAGACUUUGGUUUGAAUCCAGGCCUUGUCCCUUAGCAACCAGUUAGGAGAGCUUGGGGAAGUUUCUCUGAGCCUGUGUUUCCUUAUAUGCAGGGUCAUAAAGCCCCCUUGGUUUCUUGUGGGGUUUAAAUCAGGUAAUGAAUGCAAAGGCCUGACACAGAGCCUGGCACAUGACAAGUGCUCAAUAAAUAGCAGCAGUGACCAUGCUGUUCAUAGUGAGAGGCCCAGGAUUGAAUACAAGUCAGUUCUCAGUGAAGCCUGGCCAGAGCAGGAGUGUCGCCUCCCAGCCCAGACACUGGCCUUCUCAUGCAGCGGAUGAUCACAGUGGCCCUUUUGGCAGAACAUCGCUCUGCUCACUCACCCCAGGCUGCCUGGUCCUUCCCUGGAAGCUGUAGGUCUCAUCCCUAAGGGCUGCCACUGCUAAGUCAUAUCCCCCAACCAUUUGCUGGAGUUGUUGGCGUUAUGGAUUCUUGUUCAGGGCCUGAUGAAAUUCUACUGUGGGUACAUUUAGCCCAUCCUUCAAGCCUCUAGAAGUCAUCUUGAAUCUUAAUUCUGCCUCCAAAUAUUUCCAAGCCUACUUCCUAGCAAGAUUUCCCCCCAGCCCAAUCCAUUUAAUAGACCAUAACCACAGAAGCUUUUGGACAGUGCUCUUUUCCUUUUAUCCCUCUUCUGUUCAAAAUUCUUCCGUGACUGCUGAAUAGGUGAAGUUCAAACUCCUUAGCCAGGCUCACAAGACCCUUCAUUAUCUAACACCAGCCUACUUUUUGAGCUGUUUAAUUUUAUUUUUCCUGCCCAGAUAGUGAUAAUAAUAGUUUCUAUCUCAUAGGAUUUUUCAGAGGAUUAAACGAGUUGGCUCUGGAAAAGCACGUAGAACAGGACUUUCAAGAACUGCAUGGGGUCUGAGAUUUUGCCCCACUUGCAAACUAAUAGGUUGAUAUUGGAAAGAAUGACAGAACUUUCGAAGAAACCUGAAGCCAAGUUGAAGUGCGCAGAAGUGCUUCUCAGUGGUGCCAAGAUCAGGACAGGAAGCACUGAAACUCACUCUCAACAUACUUCCAACUGUUACCAUUGACUAGCCACAUUUGGAUCUGGGGAGGUGUUUCCUGAAAUCAAGUAUCAAUGUUAGUGCAAAAGAGCCCAUGUUAUGGAGCAAUUACUAUGGACCACACAGUAUUCUAAGGGCUCUACAUAUAUUAUUCUUUAUGCGGCUAUUGUUACCCAAUGUUGCUAUUCCCAAUUUGCAGAGGAAGAAACUGAAGAACAGAAACAUUAAAUAUCUUACCCAAGGUUACAUGGCUGGUAAGUGGGGAGCCAAGGAUUCAAACUUAGGCAGCCUGGAACCAGAGCCCCUUGGUACUGAUAGCCAAUUAGAGAUUUUGAUGAACAGUAGUUAACCAGUGAUGCUAUACCAAGUUGCUACAAUCCCAGCCUAAAGCAAAGACACUUGAUUUUCUAGGAGAUUUGUUGAGGUCUCAUUAUCAACAAGAGUAUGGUUUUCCUUACCUUUUGGAAUAUUGGAAAUACCUCUAGGUGCCCCUCUCUCAUCUCCUUCAUCACCUUCCUGGACCCUUUGAGUCCAAAGGUCUGAGGUUGGGAACCCUAAUGUAAGCUAACCUUCUCAUGAUUCUCAUGAAAAAGAACUUAGAUCAAGUGAUUUAAAGUGGCAGUUAUAAUCAUAUUAAUACCAUGUUUAUUGCCUUGCUUGAGUCUAAUAAAUAAUAUAUUUUACCAAAAACGGCACCCUAAAAUUUACCAAUAACUUUUCAUAUAAUGAUUCAUUUGAUACAAAUUAUAAUAACUGUGAACUGUGA